AUGGUGCUCGGGUACCCCGCUGAGGAAGCUCAGUCCAUCGCCGAUCGGCUUAACUGUCGGCUGGGUUCUUUCCCCACGACUUAUCUGGGGAUCCCCAUUAGUGACUCGCGCCUCACCGUGGCGGACCUCCGCCCCACGGUGACCCGUAUGCAGCAUCGCGUAGAGCCCUGGAAAGGGCGCUGGCUAUCGAAGGCGGCCCGCGUGAUCCUUAUCAACUCUUCGCUGGCCAGCCUCCUGUGGUUCCUCAUGAGCUUCUACAGCCUUCAUGAGAUGCUCCACCAGGAGAUCGCCAAAUACUAGUCCAGAUUCUUCUGGGCAGGGGAGGAGGGCAAG
Molecule: ribosomal RNA, 333 nt
Filed under: Triticum aestivum (bread wheat)
Lineage: Eukaryota; Viridiplantae; Streptophyta; Magnoliopsida; Poales; Poaceae
Description: partial small subunit ribosomal RNA
Source: RNAcentral